UACGUAGGCAGCGAGCGUUGUUCGGAAUUACUGGGCGUAAAGAGUGUGUAGGCGGUGCUCUAAGUUCGGUGUGAAAUCUCCUGGCUUAACUGGGAGGGUGCGCCGGAAACUGGGGUGCUCGAGCGUGGGAGAGGAAAGCGGAAUUCCUGGUGUAGCGGUGAAAUGCGUAGAUAUCAGGAGGAACACCUGUGGUGAAGCCAGCUUUCUGGACCAUUACUGACGAUGAGACACGAAAGCGUGGGUAGCAAACAGG
Molecule: ribosomal RNA, 253 nt
Filed under: uncultured bacterium
Lineage: Bacteria
Description: partial 16S ribosomal RNA
Rfam family: Bacterial small subunit ribosomal RNA
Source: RNAcentral